CUUCCGUCGCAUCACGACUAUAAAUAUCUCCUUUAUUCACGUUUUUAGUUUUCUUUUCGAGUGUCUACAGAGAUCAAACAUCAAAUUACUCUGCCUCUUCGUCGCCCAGUACCAGCGUUUUCGGUCUCCUCCCGCGUGUCAUCGCAUGCUAUCCAUUUCUUCUGUUCAGUUCGAUCACUUCCUGCAUCAACAUGGAAUAUCGCUUCGGAAGAUAGUUCUCAGAUCUGUUUGGUUAGCUUUAAUCCGCGAGGAGAAGAAAACUGAAACAAGCGAGAGUCCGAGCUCAACUGUUCCUCUGUGCCUGCGGAUUACCAGACUGCUGGAACAGUUUACUGUAGUUGAGCAAGAGAGAUUCGAGCCAGAGAGGAGAAGGGGAAAGAAAAGAGAGCGACCAUUGAAGAGUGAUGGAAUCAAUUGACGAAUGGUAACAAGCAAUUGGCGAAGGGAUGAUGACAGGCGGUGGCAAGCAAUGAAGGCUGGGAGGAAAGGAGGAGAAGGGCAGUGGACCCAAGAGCUGUUGAACGAGGCAAGAGAGAAGAAAUGAGGGUAAAAAAAAAGACUGGCAAAUGGUGACGGAAACGACCAACAAACCGACCGGCAAACAACAAAGGGACAAAAAGCGGCGGAUGCUGUGCCAUGCAAGGGGGACUUUAAGAUGCUGAAUCAUCUGUUUGAUUUUGUUCGGCCACAUCGCUCAAGAAUCCCAGAUUCAUGCUCUCACGACUGUUGUUUAGGAUCUUUCUUUCAGCAUGUCAGGUAAAUAGAAGUAGUAUCGAUGGGUACUAAUACGUCCAAAUUCACAAUCAUUCUGGAUGCAACUAGCAAAGCCAGUAAUUCACUAGGUAUCUACAUUAUGGAGUGUCACGUUGCUCUAAGUAAAGGAUUCCUUGCACUCAUCGGUCAGGUAUGCCUACAUAUUCUUAAAUCUUCCGUGUGUUAGUUGUAUGAUUUAAACCCUAGAAUGUUUUAUUUGAGUUAACGUAAAAAUUUAUGGUGCACUCUUUUACCCUCUUUGUUUUUCUAAUCAUCUUGCUAGUUACAGAAACAGAGAAUUUCAUUAAACUGAAAACAUGACCAAAAAAAGUAAAAUAAAGAUACGAGUAUCUCGUAGAAAAUUAUGAUUAUAAGGUUUACUGGGGGAAUCCUCUGUUUUACUUGGGAAUAAAAUUUCAUCAACGAGAUAGAACUAUUGGCAAAAGCUAAAGGAGUUGCAAGAAUCUUCCAUUGGCACAAACCACUCAGAACCAUGACCCAAUAAAGAACAAGAAAA
This is an RNA transcript of Cucurbita maxima (winter squash), 1270 nucleotides long. RefSeq lists it as uncharacterized. Lineage: Eukaryota; Viridiplantae; Streptophyta; Magnoliopsida; Cucurbitales; Cucurbitaceae. The transcript has 7 exons. The record is from RefSeq and is a predicted model, not a curated record.